This 473-nucleotide ribosomal RNA is filed under the name uncultured bacterium. Its description in RNAcentral is "bacterial SSU rRNA". It matches the Rfam family "Bacterial small subunit ribosomal RNA", at positions 335 to 800 of the family's 1533-position model. The record is from RNAcentral.
ACUCCUACGGGAGGCAGCAGUGGGGAAUAUUGCACAAUGGGCGCAAGCCUGAUGCAGCCAUGCCGCGUGUAUGAAGAAGGCCUUCGGGUUGUAAAGUACUUUCAGCAGUGAGGAAGGUGGAUAUGUUAAUAGCAUAUUCAUUUGACGUUAGCUGCAGAAGAAGCACCGGCUAACUCCGUGCCAGCAGCCGCGGUAAUACGGAGGGUGCGAGCGUUAAUCGGAAUUACUGGGCGUAAAGCGCAUGCAGGUGGUUUGUUAAGUCAGAUGUGAAAGCCCGGGGCUCAACCUCGGAAUUGCAUUUGAAACUGGCAAACUAGAGUACUGUAGAGGGGGGUAGAAUUUCAGGUGUAGCGGUGAAAUGCGUAGAGAUCUGAAGGAAUACCGGUGGCGAAGGCGGCCCCCUGGACAGAUACUGACACUCAGAUGCGAAAGCGUGGGGAGCAAACAGGAUUAGAUACCCUGGUAGGCAGCAC